Long non-coding RNA from Fukomys damarensis (Damara mole-rat), 319 nucleotides. RefSeq lists it as uncharacterized. The record is from RefSeq and is a predicted model, not a curated record. The transcript has 3 exons. Lineage: Eukaryota; Metazoa; Chordata; Mammalia; Rodentia; Bathyergidae.
AAAUUAAGGGUGUACAUCUGAUGCAUGUUUCCCAAGAUGGAGGGAAUCUGGUGCAUUAAAUGGUCUGUGUUUCCAAGACACCAUGGACAUUCAGAGGAUUAUUUCAAGCCUCUUUAACACAUGUGAACCUCAUUUACUGGUGGUGUCAGUCCUGAGUUUAUUUCCUAGCAGCGGCUAACCCUAACACUACUGAUUUGCAAAGAAAAUUCAUCGUAAGGACACCUAUAAUUAAUUAGAUUAAUAACAUUCAGUGGAGCAAUGAUAUACUGCUAAAUCCAGAAUGAAGAUGAAGCAGAGGAAAUGAACCAAUCUAGACUGA